This is a long non-coding RNA of Astatotilapia calliptera (eastern happy), 1126 nucleotides long. The record is from Ensembl. NCBI's taxonomy places the organism in Eukaryota, Metazoa, Chordata, Actinopteri, Cichliformes, Cichlidae.
ACCAAGUGAGUCAGAGUAAUGUAGCUGACAUGAUAUUCAGUCUCAAACCACCCUUCAAAUGGGAAAUGGAAAAUAGGUGUAGUGAUUUAUUGAAACCUCUGCAAACAUAGAGAUACAACAUAUAAAGCAAAAUAGAAGACAACAUAAGACAAUUCUCACAAGGUUGGAAGUUAUUGUUUGGAAUUUAUUCUUCUAUCUCUGGGGAGGGCACUGUGUCUUUCCGUUUUGUUUUUUUAUCUGAUGUUUUUACUUCAUCGGCAUUAUCAUGUUGAAAAAAUGAAGUUGCUGCCAAUCAGAUCCUUUCCAGAUGAUAGUGCAUAAUGGAUCAAAGUCAGAUUAUACUUUUCUGUGUUCAUAAUUUAAUCAGUUUUGACAGGAUCCCAAAUACCACUGGUUAAAAUAUAGCUGUGACUAAACCCCCACUGUGAUUUACAGAUAGCUGUAGACACUUAUCAGGUGUUAGGGUUCUACCUGGCCUGAUCCCACUGAUUUUCAGUCCUUUUUGUGCAAUCUGACAUACCUCCCUGUUUUGCUUUGAGUUUUUUUUUUUUUUUUUUUAACAAUUGCUUUUUGACAGACACCUUUCCACCAAGACCAUUUCUGAUGAGGCUUUGGUGAACCGUAUGGAUCAACAUAAAGGCCAGAUGCAUCUCUCAGGUCUCAUGUCGGAGCUUUACUUGAUUUUUUUCCAUAUCUCUUAACCUCCUGAGAACCAAGAGAAAAUGAAUCUUGAACUUUAUUGUGAUUACCUUCCUGUUUGGAGAAAAGAGGCCACCUAAAGACAUCAGAUAUCAACGGAAAGCCCAGAGUGUCCUCUGUUUACUAUAUCAGAACUUAUUAGGGUAGCUCAAAUAAGGCAAAAGAUCUUAUGAAAAGCAAAUGUCCAUCACAGAGGACAUAAUUGAAUAGCUGAUUCUCAGGAGGUUAAGGCCUUUCAGGUGCUGUUCAACUGCUCUAGAUGUUUGGUUUUUGUAGACCUGCCAUUUCUUUUGUCCUCUACUUAUCUAAUUUCCUCAAAGUUUUUAAGGACACAACUGCACACUAUGCCAAUAUAUGCCAAAGAGAAGCACCUUGUUGGCAUAUUUUAUGUCUGUCAGGCUGCUUUUUUUGUAGACUGGACUAAAAA